RNAcentral lists this ribosomal RNA (297 nucleotides) under uncultured bacterium. RNAcentral's name for it is "partial 16S ribosomal RNA". It matches the Rfam family "Bacterial small subunit ribosomal RNA", at positions 333 to 622 of the family's 1533-position model. The record is from RNAcentral.
UGUUUCCUACGGGACGCAGCAGUAGGGAAUUUUCGUCAAUGGGCGCAAGCCUGAACGAGCAAUGCCGCGUGAACGAGGAAGGUCUUCGGAUCGUAAAGUUCUGUUGAAGGGGAAAAAGAGCGGAGAGAGGAAAUGGUCUCCGAUUGAUAUUACCCUUCGAGGAAGUCACGGCUAACUACGUGCCAGCAGCCGCGGUAAUACGUAUGGGGCAAGCGUUAUCCGGAUUUACUGGGUGUAAAGGGAGCGCAGGCGGCUUGGCAAGUCUGAUGUGAAAGGCUGGGGCUCAACCCCAGGACU